RNAcentral lists this ribosomal RNA (467 nucleotides) under uncultured bacterium. RNAcentral describes it as "partial 16S ribosomal RNA". It matches the Rfam family "Bacterial small subunit ribosomal RNA", at positions 28 to 507 of the family's 1533-position model. The record is from RNAcentral.
GAUGAACGCUGGCGGCGUGCUUAACACAUGCAAGUCGAACGGUCAAGCAAAGCUUGCUCUCUUCUUCAGUGGCGGACGGGUGAGUAACUCGUGAGCAACCUACCCCUGUCUCUGGCUUAAGCACUGUCAACGACGUCUAACAAUGGACAUGUGAUGCGACCGCAUGGUCAGCAGUUGGAAAGAUUGUUCGGUCUGGGAUGGGCUCACGGGCUAUCAGCUUGUUGGGGAGGUAAUGGCACACCAAGGCGUCGACGGGUAGCCGGCCUGAGCGGGGCAACGGCCACACGGGGACUAAGACACGGAGCAGAAGGGUACGGGAGGCAGCAGGGGGGAAUAUUGCACAGUGGGGGAGAGCCUGAUGCAGCGGCGCCGCGUGAGGGAUGACGGCCUUCGGGUUGUAAACCUCUUUGAGCAGGGAAGAAGCGAAAGUGACGGUACCUGAAGAGAAAGCGACGGCUAACUACGUG